Molecule: unclassified non-coding RNA, 3266 nt
Filed under: Pomacea canaliculata
Lineage: Eukaryota; Metazoa; Mollusca; Gastropoda; Architaenioglossa; Ampullariidae
Description: uncharacterized LOC112561947, transcript variant X1
Source: RNAcentral
CUUUGUUUGUUUGGAAACAAUCUAUUGCGAAGUAUGACUGUUUGAAAACUGUCUGCAUAUCACUUUUUCAAAGAUUAAUUGGUUCUAUCAGACAAAUGGCAGUGGGUGGAAGCAGUGAAGAUGGGCCAUCUGCGGCAAAAGGGAGUGAGACGGAUGACAGGUAUCCUCUGUUUGUGGUCUGGGGAUGUGGACCACAAUCAAGAUGAUAAGAGCGAAGUUUCCAACAGUUGAAUACAUCACCACAAACACCUUGACAAAAUGGCUAGGAAGGGCUGAUGAGAGGAAGAUUAUCUUGAUGGACUGUCGAGCACCAGAAGAAUACAAUGUGAGUCACUUAGAGGGGGCACAUUGUGUUGACUGGAAAAAUGGCGAUCCGUGUCAGCUGUUGAGCAGUCUACCCUCUGAUAAGCCCCACACUGUGGUAUGUUAUUGUUCUGUUGGAUACAGAUCUUCAGUGAUGGCACAAAAACUCCAGCAGUAUCUAGCAACUGCAGAGUCAGCAUUUCCUGUGGGGAGUAUUAGUGUCUACAAUCUGGAGGGAUCUCUCUUCAAGUGGGCCAAUGAGGGACGACCCAUGGUGGACUCAAGGGGUCAGGCCACUAGGAUGUGUCAUCCAUUUUCAGCCACCUGGGGACUUCUUUUGGAGAAGCAGUUAAGAAACUGGGGAAGUUCAGAAAAAUAACAUUAAUGUCAUCAUUUGGGUGAAUUUGUUCUGUUCUCAUCUGCUAUUAGCUGUAUGACGGGCCUUUAUUUUUCUAUAGGACAGCACUUUUUUCCCUAAAAGGUGCCAAAUUCCAGUGACCAUUCAGAUGCAAUCUAAGGUAUGACAUUUACAAGCCACUCUAAUGCUUCUAAUGCUUCCAAAGCCUAAUGCCUUUUGGUGUGUCCUAUGUACAGUACAGCAGUUUCCUGAGCAAAAAUAAUUCAGCCUACUAAGUAAACUCUUUUUCUUGAUAUAAUUUUCAUUUUGACGUAAUGAAGUAGUUGCAAUGAAAGGUAAAUGAAAUGCAUGCAGGCAUGUUUAUGAUAGGCUGUCAGUUCUUAAUUCAUUUAAAAACUAUUAAGUGCAUUAAAUGUGUUAUGCUUUAAUGUGUGAGACAGGUAAAUGAACAUGUACAACAUGAACAUACAAGUCACUUUUAACUCUCUUAGCCCUACAUAAAAAUAUAACAUUAAAAUUACUGGUUUAUAACUAAAGACUGUGAAGACAGCAGGUGAAGUUUUUUUUUUUUUUUUAUUAUUGCUGAUCUGAGAUAAACAUUAGACCAAGAAACCUAUACAUUUUUGGAGGGGAGAAAAUUUGAACUUUGCAAUAAAAGUAAUGAAAAUUGCCUUCCGUGUGCUUCCCAGCAAAGCCACAAUCAUGGCCCAUUGUGCUGAGAGGGUUAGAGGACUUCCUCUCUAGAAUAAAGUACAAUUUAUUUCUAUCAUAUAACUGCUAUACCUUGAAAGAAUACUUAAGAAACAUAAUCACAAUACAUCAUAUAUCUGACUUUUAAUUAUGUAUACUUCAACUGAACAUUUUGACAAAAGUAAUAUACACUGAAAAAGAUAUUGUAAACUUGAAAAAAAUGUUAAAGAUCUUCACAUAACUCAGGGUCAUCAGGUCUGGCAGAUUUAAGGGCACAUAAAAAUCCUCUUUUACAGUCUCCUGUGCAAGAAUCAGUUUUGGCAGACUUGAAAUAAUACCUGAAAUGACAUAUAAAACUGAUUAAUCUUUGAAAUUUGUGCUGAAAGUGUAAUUGUUGGUAUAAAGCUUUGUAACUAACAGAUUUUUCAAACAUUCCUAUUUUUUGAUGUUCAAUGUUUUCUGCUAUUAACAGGCUUGCACUGUAAGACUAAUUUCCUUAUUAAGUUAGAAUGGGAUGAGAAAUAAAAAAAAAAGACUUUGGUACUUUCUAUAAAAUGGAAUGAGGGCAUUAAGCAGGUUUGACUGCUUUGCCUUUCAUAGUGUUAUUGCCAUGUACUUCUGACCAGAAGAAAAGAUAAAACAUACCUAAAUGUUUCUGGAUAAAAGCAAAAUAAUCAGAUUAUUAGGCAGGCUGGCAACACUAAACAGCAUUUUAUUGGUGGGUAAAUGCAGAAAGGGUAUUGCUCACUUGUAGAAUGUCUGGAAGAGGGUAUCGUUUGCCUUCAUUCUAUAGAUAAGCUCAUUCCAGUCCUCUGGGUACAGCCCCUUCAUUUGAUAGUCACUCUGCAAGGCAGAUAAUCUGAUUUCUGAAUCCUAUAAUUCAUUUGUUCACUCAUUUAUUGGUGGGCAGUAUUUGAUAAUACAUCCACAUCCAUUAUUCAGUUUUAUUUAUAACUGAGUAGUUAUUUAACAUUAUGGCUAGCUUAUAAGAUUUCUAUGAAACAGUUUAUAGCAACAUGUCAGGGAUGGAAUGUAUUAAAUUGCACAUGGGAAUAAAUGUUGUUUCAGCAUUACCAGAUAUGGUGUAAACGAAAAAAAAAAAAAAAAAAAAAAUUAAGCUGAAAUGGCUUUCAGAACAACCUGAGUUCUUUAAAGUAAUGAGAAAUGUCAUCUUGGUCCUCAUUCGUUGGAUGUGAUUCAAGGAAAAAGACCUUAAUAGACUGCAUCCAGUACUGGGCUAUGGAGGUAACUUAAAAGAAGUAAGCCAAAGAAGAGGGGAGGAGGAGUCAAAGAGGAAGAUAGGGAGAUGCUGACCCAUGAACUAUUGAUGUGGUUGCCAUCAAUGGUGUAUAUACGAAAGCCAGGGUUGGUGAAGGAGUAAGGUGUGACACUGCCACCAACAUAGGACACACCGACAGGUCGUGUUCGGUUGCUAAGGUCGUAGAACACCUGAUACUCAUCUUUGUGAGUGUGGCCAUGGAACUGCCCUGUGAUGGUGCUCUCGUAUCUAUGGUGAACAGAAAAGUUUUACUGACAUCAUCUCUCACUACAUCUUGUAGUUGUGAAUGGACCGGAGCUUUUUAACAGUAAGAGAAGCACCACUGAAUAUGGUAGCAAAUCCUCUAAACAGCAAGAGAAGCAGCAGAAUUAAUUAUCAGUUUCUUUCAUUUCAUUUUGUUCUGGUGAAGUAGUAACAAAUAUAGUAGAGACUACUGCUCUUGCUUACAGAAUGAAAUAUAAUGUGGUGAUGACUACCGUUCUGUUUUUUAUAGAUCUAAGUAUAAAGAACACUUGAUAUUAGCACUUAUAGCAGUGUAAUUAUAUAAUAAAUAUAAUCCUUAUCAAAUUGUAAAUUGUUUUUCUUAGUCACUAAUAAAGCUUUUGUGAGGGCAAAUGUCCUUGAUGCUCCUGAACC